This 501-nucleotide ribosomal RNA is filed under the name uncultured bacterium. RNAcentral describes it as "partial 16S ribosomal RNA". It matches the Rfam family "Bacterial small subunit ribosomal RNA", at positions 29 to 523 of the family's 1533-position model. The record is from RNAcentral.
AUUGAACGCUGGCGGCAUGCCUUACACAUGCAAGUCGAACGGCAGCACGGGUGCUUGCACCUGGUGGCGAGUGGCGAACGGGUGAGUAAUACAUCGGAACGUACCUUAUCGUGGGGGAUAACGCAGCGAAAGCUGUGCUAAUACCGCAUACGCCCUGAGGGGGAAAGCGGGGGAUCGCAAGACCUCGCGCGAUUAGAGCGGCCGAUGCCUGAUUAGCUUGUUGGUGGGGUAAAAGCCCACCAAGGCGACGAGCAGUAGCUGGUCUGAGAGGACGAUCGGCCACACUGGGACUGAGACACGGCCCAGACUCCUACGGGAGGCAGCAGUGGGGAAUGUUGGACAAUGGGGGCAACCCUGAUCCAGCAAUGCCGCGUGAGUGAAGAAGGCCUUCGGGUUGUAAAGCUCUUUUGUCAGGGAAGAAACACCGGCUCUAACACAGUCUGGGAAUGACGGUACCUGAAGAAUAAGCACCGGCUAACUACGUGCCAGCCGCCGCGGUAA